GCAUAUCAAUAAGCGGAGGAAAAGAAAAUAACAAUGAUUCCCCUAGUAACUGCGAGUGAAGAGGGAUAAGCUCAAAUUUUAAAUCUGUUAGGUUUUACCUAACCGAAUUGUAAUUUGAAGAAGCGUUUUCGCGGGUGUUUGAUGGUCUAAGUCCUUUGGGAUGAGGUAUCAUGGAGGGUGAUAAUCCCGUACGGCCAUCAUUGCUUGUGUACGAUACGCUUUCAAAGAGUCAAGUUGUUUGGGAUUGCAGCUUAAAAUGGGAGGUAAAUUUCUCCUAAGGCUAAAUAUUGGCGAGAGACCGAUAGCGAACAAGUACCGUGAGGGAAAGAUGAAAAGCACUUUGAAAAGAGAGUUAAAUAGUGCGUGAAAUUGUUGAAAGGGAAACGAUUGAAGCCAGUCGUACCGACGGAGAAUCAACCUUUGGAGUGUGAGUCGAGGUAUUCGAGGAGUUUAAAAGCCCUUGUGUGCUUCCGUAUCGUGCUUCUUGGGUGCUUUUCUUCGUAUGGUAGGUUAACAUCAAUUUUGGACGUUACAAAAUGACUGGGGGAAUGUAGCUUCGAUUUUUCGAAGUGUUAUAGCCCUUUGUAGAUGUGACGACCGGGAUUGAGGAUUGCAACGAAUGCUUUCGGGCUAUCCGUCUGACCUCUGGUGGUUGCUUUGGGGUCGAAAGCGUGCUUACGGCUUUAAAGUUGGCUAUCAAAAGGCUAGAACGUGAUUAAAUUCGUUAAGGAUGUUGACGUA
RNAcentral lists this ribosomal RNA (741 nucleotides) under uncultured Glomerales. RNAcentral's name for it is "LSU rRNA". It matches the Rfam family "Eukaryotic large subunit ribosomal RNA", at positions 38 to 633 of the family's 3401-position model. Lineage: Eukaryota; Fungi; Glomeromycota; Glomeromycetes; Glomerales; Glomeraceae. The record is from RNAcentral.